Molecule: ribosomal RNA, 425 nt
Filed under: uncultured bacterium
Lineage: Bacteria
Description: partial 16S ribosomal RNA
Rfam family: Bacterial small subunit ribosomal RNA
Source: RNAcentral
GUUAGGAAUAUUGGACAAUGGGCGAAAGCCUGAUCCAGCCAUGCCGCGUGAACGAUGAAGGCCUUCGGGUUGUAAAGUUCUUUAGCCGAUGAUUAUAAUGACUGUAGUCGGAAAAUAAGCCCCGGCUAACUUCGUGCCAGCAGCCGCGGUAAUACGAAGGGGGCGAGCGUUAUUCGGAAUCACUGGGCGUAAAGCGUGCGUAGGCGGUUUUGUAAGUUAGUAGUGAAAGCCCAGGGCUCAACCUUGGAAUUGCUCUUAAAACUGCAAGGCUCGAAUCUCGGAGAGGAUAGCGGAAUUUCCAGUGUAGCAGUGAAAUGCGUAGAUAUUGGAAGGAACACCAGUGGCGUAAGCGGCUAUCUGGACGAGUAUUGACGCUGAGGCACGAAAGCGUGGGGAUCAAACAGGAUUAGAAACCCUAGUAGUCC